UAUUGAUGGUGUGGACAGACCCUAAGAAGAGCCUUGAAACGCUCCCAAGCAUGAUAAAGAUUCUCAUCUGGCUUCUGUUUAAAUCUCACUAUUGUUCACAUCCAAUU
Capsicum annuum is the source of this 107-nucleotide small nucleolar RNA. The record is from RefSeq and is a predicted model, not a curated record. Lineage: Eukaryota; Viridiplantae; Streptophyta; Magnoliopsida; Solanales; Solanaceae.